RNAcentral lists this ribosomal RNA (486 nucleotides) under uncultured bacterium. RNAcentral describes it as "partial 16S ribosomal RNA". It matches the Rfam family "Bacterial small subunit ribosomal RNA", at positions 28 to 507 of the family's 1533-position model. The record is from RNAcentral.
GAUGAACGCUGGCGGCGUGCCUAAUACAUGCAAGUCGAACGCUGGAGAUCUAGCUUGCUAGAUCGAAGGAGUGGCGAACGGGUGAGUAAUACAUAAGCAACCUACCCACGAAGACUGGGAUAAUCUCUGGAAACGGGGACUAAUACCGGAUAGGUAAUCGGAAGGCAUCUUCUGGUUAUUAAAGGUUAAAAACACUGGUGGAUGGGCUUAUGGCGCAUUAGUUAGUUGGUGAGGUAACGGCCCACCAAGACGAUGAUGCGUAGCCGGCCUGAGAGGGUGAACGGCCACAUUGGGACUGAGACACGGCCCAGACUCCUACGGGAGGCAGCAGUAGGGAAGUUUCGGCAAUGGGGGCAACCCUGACCGAGCAACGCCGCGUGAGUGAAGACGGCCUUCGGGUUGUAAAGCUCUGUUGUAAGGGAAGAACGGUAGAUAGAGAAUAUCUAAGUGACGGUACCUUACCAGAAAGCCACGGCUAACUACGUG